This 701-nucleotide ribosomal RNA is filed under the name Pantoea stewartii. RNAcentral describes it as "bacterial SSU rRNA". It matches the Rfam family "Bacterial small subunit ribosomal RNA", at positions 49 to 738 of the family's 1533-position model. Lineage: Bacteria; Pseudomonadati; Pseudomonadota; Gammaproteobacteria; Enterobacterales; Erwiniaceae. The record is from RNAcentral.
UAACACAUGCAAGUCGGACGGUAGCACAGAGGAGCUUGCUCCUCGGGUGACGAGUGGCGGACGGGUGAGUAAUGUCUGGGAAACUGCCCGAUGGAGGGGGAUAACUACUGGAAACGGUAGCUAAUACCGCAUAACGUCGCAAGACCAAAGUGGGGGACCUUCGGGCCUCACACCAUCGGAUGUGCCCAGAUGGGAUUAGCUGGUAGGCGGGGUAACGGCCCACCUAGGCGACGAUCCCUAGCUGGUCUGAGAGGAUGACCAGCCACACUGGAACUGAGACACGGUCCAGACUCCUACGGGAGGCAGCAGUGGGGAAUAUUGCACAAUGGGCGCAAGCCUGAUGCAGCCAUGCCGCGUGUAUGAAGAAGGCCUUCGGGUUGUAAAGUACUUUCAGCGGGGAGGAAGGUGCUGAGGUUAAUAACCUCAGCAAUUGACGUUACCCGCAGAAGAAGCACCGGCUAACUCCGUGCCAGCAGCCGCGGUAAUACGGAGGGUGCAAGCGUUAAUCGGAAUUACUGGGCGUAAAGCGCACGCAGGCGGUCUGUUAAGUCAGAUGUGAAAUCCCCGGGCUUAACCUGGGAACUGCAUUUGAAACUGGCAGGCUUGAGUCUCGUAGAGGGGGGUAGAAUUCCAGGUGUAGCGGUGAAAUGCGUAGAGAUCUGGAGGAAUACCGGUGGCGAAGGGCGGCCCCCUGGACGAAG